AAUUUAUUUUAAUGUCUGCCUCCACGUCUAGACUGGAGGUUCUUUUUGGGCAGAAAAUGGGCCUACCAACUCUGUUGGACCAUACUCUCCCAAGUGCUUGGCACAGUGCUUGGCACAUAGUAAGGGCUCAAUAAAUACCACUGAUUGACUGAUUAAUUGGCCACUUGGGCCUUGGCUUCUCCCUCCUCAUUUCCCUUCAUUCUCUUGUCUUUCCCAUCACAUAAAAGUUCCAGUUUGAAGCCCUAGGGCCCCGUGCCCAUCUGCCCCUGCCAAGAAGUCCGGCCCCUCCCUCCUCCCUUUGCUCUGCCCAGGCCUGCCACCUAUAACAGUUUCUUUUGUUUCUUUCUCCCAACAACGUCUCUAGGAUUCCUCCUCCACCCUCCCUCUGAGCUUUCCGCAUCAAGGCCUAAAGCCCCAGGAAAACUGUACUCUCUCCCCAGUUGGUCUAAUUUCAAGGUUUCCUCAGCUUUUUCAUCUUUCAUCUCCCCACUCUCCCCACCUACAAACCCGUAUUAAAAGCACAUCUCCUCCAAGAGGCUUUCCCUGACUAAGCCUUCACCCUUCUGUGAAGCGCUUGGAUUUGAAUUUGCUCCCCUUAGUCAACCCUUCCCUCUGCCCCACAGCGCUUAUGUCCACAUUCAUAAUUUAUAUUAAUGUCCGUCUCCCCCCUCUAAACCGUAAGCUCGUAGUGGGCAGGAAAUACGUCUGUCAACUCUUGUACUGCACCCUCCCAACCACUCGGCACAGUACUCUGCACGCACUAAGCACUCAAUAAAGAUGAUUGAUUGAUUAUGUCUGCUUUUCCACUGCAGCCUGAAAUCUUGUCUGACCCCCAAAGAUGGAACAGAAGGAGAAAAGCAAAAGGAAAUUGAAGUCCCGAAGAGCUGAUCAGCCAGUUACGAUCUGCUGCACCAAGAUAUUCUUUGGAGAACAAAGUCCAUUGUCUGCUGCUACAGCUAGGAGGGGAGGAAGAAUUGUUUCCCUUCCCCUCAUUGUCUCCAAGCAGAAAGCCAACUGUGGUGGUACUUGUGCAGAAUGGAAAAUGGUGGAUGCAUGAGCAGGGAUGCUCCAGCCCAAUGAAUCAAG
Molecule: long non-coding RNA, 1086 nt
Filed under: Ornithorhynchus anatinus (platypus)
Lineage: Eukaryota; Metazoa; Chordata; Mammalia; Monotremata; Ornithorhynchidae
Description: lncRNA (ENSOANG00000047058.1)
Source: RNAcentral